UACGUAGGGAGCAAGCGUUGUCCGGAUUUACUGGGUGUAAAGGGUGCGUAGGCGGCUUUGCAAGUCAGAAGUGAAAUCCAUGGGCUUAACCCAUGAACUGCUUUUGAAACUGCAGAGCUUGAGUGGAGUAGAGGUAGGCGGAAUUCCCGGUGUAGCGGUGAAAUGCGUAGAGAUCGGGAGGAACACCAGUGGCGAAGGCGGCCUACUGGGCUCUAACUGACGCUGAGGCACGAAAGCGUGGGUAGCAAACAGG
RNAcentral lists this ribosomal RNA (253 nucleotides) under uncultured bacterium. RNAcentral's name for it is "partial 16S ribosomal RNA". It matches the Rfam family "Bacterial small subunit ribosomal RNA", at positions 524 to 776 of the family's 1533-position model. The record is from RNAcentral.